Molecule: long non-coding RNA, 564 nt
Filed under: Heterocephalus glaber (naked mole-rat)
Lineage: Eukaryota; Metazoa; Chordata; Mammalia; Rodentia; Bathyergidae
Description: lncRNA (ENSHGLG00100038960.1)
Source: RNAcentral
GUAAACUGCUCGCACCUUUUCAAACGGUGCACUUUCCCUACAAGAAAACCGAGGAGCUCCCGGCCGCGACAGGCUGCGCACGCGCAGAGGCGCCCGGCGCCACCUGGUGUUCACGCCGCGUAACGCUCGCGAGCUUCCUCCAGCCGGAAUUCUGGGCAAAAUCCCCAUUACUAUCCUGUGAUUACCACCAGCAGUGCUGACAUGAAGUACUCAGCUAUGCUCUUCUAGCCUAAAUGCUGUGCUCAAACUGGAAGAAUCAGCCUCCCGGGCGAGGUAUCACCCUGUCCUACUUUGAAAAGGACACAGUGCAGGGAUGAAGAACAGAGGCUUUUGCUGCUGAGAGAUCAUAUUUUAAACAAGACGUAAGUGGAGUCUUCAUAACCAGUCUGAUAAAUUCUCUUAGGGUAGUCAUGGGUCUGCCUCUCUGGCCACUGCCAUGUUAUGUAUCCUGAGCCGCAGUGGCUCACAGCUGUGCAGAAGGUAUCUGCUCUAUUGAGUCCAAUAGUUUCAAGCUGCUGAUUCUCAGAGCAGUAAUCCAUCCCAGCAUUGGUCCGAAGAACCCUG